RNAcentral lists this ribosomal RNA (345 nucleotides) under uncultured soil bacterium. Its description in RNAcentral is "bacterial SSU rRNA". It matches the Rfam family "Bacterial small subunit ribosomal RNA", at positions 26 to 375 of the family's 1533-position model. The record is from RNAcentral.
AGAUUGAACGCUGGCGGCAUGCCUUACACAUGCAAGUCGAACGGCAGCACGGGAGCAAUCCUGGUGGCGAGUGGCGAACGGGUGAGUAAUACAUCGGAACGUGCCCAAUCGUGGGGGAUAACGCAGCGAAAGCUGUGCUAAUACCGCAUAAGAUCUACGGAUGAAAGCAGGGGAUCGCAAGACCUUGCGCGAAUGGAGCGGCCGAUGGCAGAUUAGGUAGUUGGUGAGGUAAAGGCUCACCAAGCCUUCGAUCUGUAGCUGGUCUGAGAGGACGACCAGCCACACUGGGACUGAGACACGGCCCAGACUCCUACGGGAGCAGCAGUGGGGAAUUUGGACAAUGGG